RNAcentral lists this ribosomal RNA (519 nucleotides) under Triticum aestivum (bread wheat). RNAcentral describes it as "partial small subunit ribosomal RNA". The record is from RNAcentral. Lineage: Eukaryota; Viridiplantae; Streptophyta; Magnoliopsida; Poales; Poaceae.
AUGUGUGGAGCACUCGGUAGUUCCGAGACUGAUCACCCAGAAACAACCGCCGCCGGUUCCGACUGGAGCUUGGCUGUUGACGGGCACGGUCAUCCAAUUCUUUCUGCAGCCGCUCGAGGCGGUCAUCCUCGGCCAGAGUGGCCAAACGCGUUGACUCUUAUGGCCAGGGCCUCGAGAGUCGUCCCCGUGAUGGGGGUGCAUAGUGCCUCCUUGUUCCUCUACCGAAGUUCCUCCCUCUGCUCCCGAGUGAGGGGUUGGGGAACGUAUCGCACAUGGCCAGCAAAGUGGUCAGCACCGAGGUCGUCGUUGGUGUGCCCGUGCGAAGCGCCAUCGAGGCCGUCGCGAGCGCCCGCGUAUCCCGGAGGACCGUGCUGCUCUGUGCCGGCCAUCAAGACUUCCGCCGUGGACUCAAUGCUCUUGCACUCGGACCCAUCCAUGGAAUCCUCGUGGAGACAGGCGAAAAGAUCGAGGGCGGGCUCGUCGGGCUCGAGCACCGCCACCUGCACAGUCGCGGCCUAG